UAAAGCUACUAAGAGCUAAUGGAGAAUGCCUUGGUACUGACAGCCGAAGAAGGACGUGUAAAGCUGCGAUAAGCUACGGGGAGUUGCUAAAAGACCUUGAUCCGUAGAAAUCCGAAUGGGGAAACCCUGCAAGGUUAAAACCUUGUAAUCCACAGAUGAAUACAUAGUCUGUGAGAAGGAAAGCCUGUGAACUGAAACAUCUUAGUAACAGGACGAAAAGAAAAUAACCAAAUGAUUCCGACAGUAGCGGCGAGCGAAAUCGGAAGAGCCUAAACAGUAUGUACGUGAUAGACUGCAAUCGUUGUGCAUAUUGAGUUGUGGGACUUAUGGUAUAAUUUGCAGAUUAUACAAAGAGUUACAAAAUUAUUUAAUAGCUAAAUACAACUGGGAAGUUGAGCCAUAGCGGGUGAUAGCCCCUUAAGCGACAUUAAAUAAUCUCUUAUAAGUAUCCCGAGUAAGGCGGGGCACGUGAAACCCUGUCUGAAUCCACCGGGACCAUCCGGUAAGGCUAAAUACUAGUCAGUGACCGAUAGUGAACGAGUACAGUGAUGGAAAGGCGAAAAGAACAGUGAGAAGCUGAGUGAAAUAGACCCUGAAACCGUUAGCUUACAAUCAGUUAGAGCCCUAUUGAUAGGGUGAUAGCGUGCCUGUUGAAGAAUGAGCCGGCGAGUUAUUUUAUGUUGCAAGGUUAAGGAGUUAAUAUCCGGAGCCCCAGCGAAAGCGAGUUUGAAAAGAGCGUUAAGUAACAUGAAAUAGACCCGAACCUUGGUGAUCUAACCUUGACCAGGAUGAAGCGUGGGUAACACUACGUGGAGGUCCGAACCGACUGAUGUUGAAAAAUCAGCGGAUGAGUUGAGGUUAGGGGUGAAAUGCCAAUCGAACCAAGAGCUAGCUGGUUCUCCCCGAAAUGCGUUUAGGCACAGCGUCAGAUAUAUCUUACAGGAGGUAGAGCACUGGUUUUGUGCGGGCGGCGAAAUGCUGUACCAAACAAUGUCAAACUCCGAAUGCCUGUAAUGUAACUGUCUGGCAGUGAGGCUACGAGUGAUAAGAUCCGUGGCCAAGAGGGAAACAGCCCAGAACGCCAGUUAAGGUCCCUAAUAUAUGCUAAGUGGUUAAGGAGGUAGAGUUGCAUUGACAACCAGGAGGUUGGCUUAGAAGCAGCCAUCCCUUGAAAGAGUGCGUAAUAGCUCACUGGUCAAGCGACUCCGCGCCGAAAAUACACCGGGACUCAAGCAUAUAACCGAAGCUGCGUCAUUACAGUUUACUGUAAUGGGUAGGGGAGCGUUCUGUUGUAGGACGAAGUUAGAUCGAAAGGACUAAUGGACGAAGCAGAAGUGAGAAUGUCGGCAUAAGUAGCGAAAACAUUGGUGAGAAUCCAAUGCACCGUAAACCUAAGGUUUCCCCUGGCAGGCUCGUCCGCGGGGGGUUAGUCGGAACCUAAGAUGAGGCCGAAAGGCGUAGUCGAUGGACAUCAGGUUGAUAUUCCUGAACUAUCUGGUAAUCGUUAUCAGAAGCGGAGGGACGCAGGAGGAUAGGCAUGCAGACGAACGGAAGUGUCUGUUUAAGCGUGUAGCUAGUUUGAGUAGGAAAAUCCGCUCAGGCGUUAAGACGUGAGGCGUUAUGAGGAGAGUCUACGGACUCGAAGCUGUUGAAUCCACACUGCCAAGAAAAACUUCGCAAUCGAGAUUAUCCGGUAUCCGUACCGUAAACCGCCACAGGUAGGUUAGUAGAACAUACUAAGGUGCGCGAGACAACUCUCGCUAAGGAACUCGGCAAAAUCACCUCGUAACUUCGGGAGAAGAGGUACCCUGGUAGCGUGAAGCGAUUUACUCGUGAAGCGUGAUAGGGUCGCAGUGAAUUGGCCCAUGCGACUGUUUACCAAAAACACAGGUCUCUGCUAAGUCGAUCAAGACGAUGUAUAGGGGCUGACGCCUGCCCGGUGUCGGAAGGUUACGUGGAAGGGUUAGUAGUAAUACGAAGCUCUGAAACUAAGCCCCGAUGAACGGCGGCCGUAACUAUAACGGUCCUAAGGUAGCGAAAUUCCUUGUCAGGUAAG
Molecule: ribosomal RNA, 2056 nt
Filed under: human gut metagenome
Description: bacterial LSU rRNA
Rfam family: Bacterial large subunit ribosomal RNA
Source: RNAcentral